GGCUCAGGACGAACGCUGGCGGCGUGCUUAACACAUGCAAGUCGAACGGAAAGGCCCUGCUUUUGUGGGGUGCUCGAGUGGCGAACGGGUGAGUAACACGUGAGUAACCUGCCCUUGACUUUGGGAUAACUUCAAGAAACUGGGGCUAAUACCGGAUAGGAGCUCCUGCUGCAUGGUGGGGGUUGGAAAGUUUCGGCGGUUGGGGAUGGACUCGCGGCUUAUCAGCUUGUUGGUGGGGUAGUGGCUUACCAAGGCUUUGACGGGUAACCGGCCUGAGAGGGUGACCGGCCACAUUGGGACUGACAUACCGCCCAUACUCCUACAGGAGGCAACACUGGGGAAUAUUGCACAAUGGGCGGAAGCCUGAUGCACCAACGCCGCGUGCGGGAUGACGGCCUUCGGGUUGAAAACCGCUUUCGCCUGCGACGAAGCGUGAGUGACGGUAAUGGGUAAAGAAGCACCGGCUAACAACGUGCCAGCAACCGCGGUGAUACGUAUGGUGCGAGCGUUGUCCGGAUUUAUUGGCCUUAAAGGGCUCGUAGGUGGUUGAUCGCUGCGCAAGCGUAAUCUUGGUGCUUAAACCUGAGCGUGCUUUCGAUACCGCUUGACUUGAGGAAGGUAGGGGAGAAUGGAAUUCCUGGUGGAGCGGUGGGAAUGCGCAGAUAUCAGGGAGGAAACCCCAGUGGCGAAGGCGUUUCUUUGGGCCUUUCCUGACGCUGAGGAGCGAAAGCGUGGGGAGCGAACAGGCUUAGAUACCCUGGUAGUCCACGCUGUAAACGGUGGGUACUAGGUGUGGGGUCCAUUCCACGGGUUCCGUGCCGUAGCUAACGCUUUAAGUACCCCGCCUGGGGAGUACGGCCGCAAGGCUAAAACUCAAAGGAAUUGACGGGGCCCCGCACAAGCGGCGGAGCAUGCGGAUUAAUUCGAUGCAACGCGUAGAACCUUACCUGGGUUUGACAUGGAUCGGGAGCGCUCAGAGAUGGGUGUGCCUCUUUUGGGGUCGGUUCACAGGUGGUGCAUGGCUGUCGUCAGCUCGUGUCGUGAGAUGUUGGGUUAAGUCCCGCAACGAGCGCAACCCUUGUUCACUGUUGCCAGCACGUUAUGGUGGGGACUCAGUGGAGACCGCCGGGGUCAACUCGGAGGAAGGUGGGGAUGACGUCAAGUCAUCAUGCCCCUUAUGUCCAGGGCUUCACGCAUGCUACAAUGGCUGGUACAGAGAGUGGCGAGCCUGUGAGGGUGAGCGAAUCUCGGAAAGCCGGUCUCAGUUCGGAUUAGGGUCUGCAACUCGACCUCAUGAAGUCGGAGUCGCUAGUAAUCGCAGAUCAGCAACGCUGCGGUGAAUACGUUCCCGGGGCUUGUACACACCGCCCGUCAAGUCAUGAAAGUUGGUAACACCCGAAGCCGGUGGCCUAACCGUUGUGGGGGAGCCGUCGAAGGUGGGACUGGUGA
RNAcentral lists this ribosomal RNA (1449 nucleotides) under uncultured organism. RNAcentral's name for it is "SSU rRNA". It matches the Rfam family "Bacterial small subunit ribosomal RNA". The record is from RNAcentral.